CCUCCGAUAGCUCAACGGUAGAGCGCUGGUAUACUUUCAGUUUUUUUCCAGAAUGAUAAUUACUACCGGAGACGUUGGUUCGGUGCCAACUCGGAGGA
Molecule: non-coding RNA, 98 nt
Organism: Stereum hirsutum FP-91666 SS1
Lineage: Eukaryota; Fungi; Basidiomycota; Agaricomycetes; Russulales; Stereaceae
Source: the annotation of a RefSeq genome assembly